GAUGAACGCUGGCGGCGUGCCUAAUACAUGCAAGUCGAGCGAACGGACGAGAAGCUUGCUUCUCUGAUGUUAGCGGCGGACGGGUGAGUAACACGUGGAUAACCUACCUAUAAGACUGGGAUAAUUUCGGGAAACCGUAGCUAAUACCGGAUAAUAUCUUGAACCGCAUGGUUCAAAAGUGAAAGACGGUCUUGCUGUCACUUAUAGAUGGAUCCGCGCUGCAUUAGCUAGUUGGUAAGGUAACGGCUUACCAAGGCAACGAUGCAUAGCCGACCUGAGAGAGUGAUCGGCCACACGGGAGCUGAGACACGGUCCAGGCGCCUACGGGAGGCAGCAGUAGGCAAUCUUCCGCAAUGGGCGAAAGCCUGACGCAGCAACGCCACGUGAGUGAUGAAGGUCUUCGGGUCGUGAAGCUCUGUUAUUAGGGAAGAACAUAUGUGUAAGUAACUGUGCACAUCUUGACGGUACCUAAUCAGAAAGCCACGGCUAACUACGUG
Molecule: ribosomal RNA, 497 nt
Filed under: uncultured bacterium
Lineage: Bacteria
Description: partial 16S ribosomal RNA
Rfam family: Bacterial small subunit ribosomal RNA
Source: RNAcentral